UAAGGAAUAUUGGUCAAUGGACGCAAGUCUGAACCAGCCAUGCCGCGUGAAGGAUGAAGGUCCUCUGGAUUGUAAACUUCUUUUACCUGGGACGAAAACGGGAUUUUUAUCUCAAUUGACGGUACCAGAGGAAUAAGCACCGGCUAACUCCGUGCCAGCAGCCGCGGUAAUACGGAGGGUGCGAGCGUUAUCCGGAUUUACUGGGUUUAAAGGGUGCGUAGGUGGGCUUAUAAGUCAGUGGUGAAAUCUCCGAGCUUAACUUGGAAACUGCCGUUGAUACUAUAGGUCUUGAAUUAUCUGGAGGUAAGCGGAAUAUGUCAUGUAGCGGUGAAAUGCUUAGAUAUGACAUAGAACACCAAUUGCGAAGGCAGCUUACUACAUAUAAAUUGACGCUGAGGCACGAAAGCGUGGGGAUCAAACA
This 421-nucleotide ribosomal RNA is filed under the name uncultured bacterium. RNAcentral's name for it is "bacterial SSU rRNA". It matches the Rfam family "Bacterial small subunit ribosomal RNA", at positions 355 to 774 of the family's 1533-position model. The record is from RNAcentral.